UAGAAUUAGAAUUACGUUAGUGAUUGAAAAGGAGAUACACUUCCUGUUUUUCAUUUGUCUUUCUAUUUACACGUAUAAUAAAAGUUCGGAGUGUCCUUGAAUGCAUCUGGAUGUGGUGUGUCGAUGAGGAAGUGUGUUUCCCAGAACGAGGAGGACUAGAGACGUGUUUUAUGUCACCGGGAGAUCAUUAUUUCCUUCAUACAAUGCUACUCAACUGAAGACAGUUUAAGGAAUUUAGUACAGGCAUCAGUACUGUUAUGAGACUUGACAUCCGACGACAUGACCUUUCACACUGCAUGGAGACCAGCAGAACCCAUGGCCGAGACGGACAUGCCAUGGCCCGAGACGGGCAUGCCAUGGCCCGAGACGGACAUGCCGUGGCCGAGACGGGCAUGCCGUGGCCGAGACGGGCAUGCCGUGGCCGAGACGGACAUGCCAUGGCCCGAGACGGACAUGCCAUGGCCCGAGACAGACAUGCCAUGGCCCGAGACGGACAUGCCAUGGCCGAGACGGACAUGCCAUGGCCUAGACAUGCAAUGGCCGUGACAGAUAUGCCAUGGCCGAGACGGACAUGCCAUGGCCGAGACGGACAUGCCAACAUGCCAUGGCCGAGACGGACAUGCCAUGGCCGAGACGGGCAUGCCAACAUGCCAUGGCCGAGACAGACAUGCCAUGGCCGAGACGGACAUGCCAACAUGCCAUGGCCGAGACGGACAUGCCAUGGCCGAGACGAACAUGCCAUGGCUGAAGCACUGGUAUGCGCAUGUUAGUGGUUCAUGGCGCUAAAGGAACGUUUGUUAGCUUUGCCAGUCCUAAUGAACACCUGUGUGACUGUGAUUAUCGGUUAUGGGUGUGGUUGGUGUAUCGGAUGUGUGUACCUAAUGUAGUGUCCAUUGAUUGAAGCGAGGAUGCUAGCUAGCAUUGUCGCAUGCAUGCUUUGCAGCCACGGAAGGGUUAAGGCAGCAUGAAAGCAUCCAUUGUGGUUUUAAUGAUCUAGCCGCCCCUUGGCUAGUACUAAAUGGACCAAAGACGUGUGAUAACAGGCGGCCUCUGAACGUCCAAUGCAGAGCGAGGCGGACUGCCCUUUCUUUCUCGUGUUUUAACUUGGCGUCCAGAUUGCUGGUGUUUUCUCACAUGGAUCCAUCAUUUGCUUUGUGAUGAUUUUAGAGCGUGUAGCUGUUGACAAUCAUACUGGCAGUGACGUCGGACAUAUUUUCUUGCUCCGCAUGCUGAUCCAGUCUAUUUUUUGAACGUGUCCAUAUGGCCGCGUGCAGCUUCAAUGAAGCACACGGCUGCUACAGCAUGUAAAGGCGUAGCGUGCCGACUUUUCCUCGCUAUUGUUCAGUCCCUCCGUAGAUGUGUCUUUAAGGAAAAAAAAGCUGAAUUCAAAUGAGGCACCCCUCUGGUGCCACACAUGCUUCUCAGCCUCCCAAACAACACCUAGUGCAGGUGUGAAUAUUCUAAUCCCCAGUGAGAAUCACAGUGGGCCCUCUUGUCUUGUCCUCAGAGUCUCCUUUAUGUGUGCCGCUGGCUAACAGCGACUUGCAGAAACACCUUUGACUAAGUGGAAGGUGGACAUCCUCUUACCAACUGGGCUUAAUGACUGAUGAUGCGGCACGCAAUUGAAAACACAACCUAAUUGAAAAUAAAGUGCAUUCCCAAAAACAUAUUCAGUAUUCAAAUAUUGU
This is a non-coding RNA of Doryrhamphus excisus (bluestripe pipefish), 1688 nucleotides long. NCBI's taxonomy places the organism in Eukaryota, Metazoa, Chordata, Actinopteri, Syngnathiformes, Syngnathidae. The record is from RefSeq and is a predicted model, not a curated record.